UUUCGAAUCAUUCACAAUGGGCGAAAGCCUGAUGGUGCGACGCCGCGUGAGGGAUGAAGGCCUUCGGGUUGUAAACCUCUGUCACCGGGGAAGAAACGCUUCAAGUUAACAGCUUGAAGCCUGACUUAACCCGGAGAGGAAGCAGUGGCUAACUCUGUGCCAGCAGCCGCGGUAAUACAGAGACUGCAAGCGUUAUUCGGAUUCACUGGGCGUAAAGGGUGCGCAGGCGGCCGAGUGUGUGAGGCGUGAAAGCCCGGGGCUUAACCCCGGAAUUGCACCUCAAACUACACGGCUAGAGCAUUGGAGAGGGUAGCAGAAUUCAUGGUGUAGCAGUGAAAUGCGUAGAUAUCAUGAGGAAUACCAGAGGCGAAGGCGGCUACCUGGACAAUUGCUGACGCUCAGGCACGAAAGCGUGGGGAGCAAAAG
RNAcentral lists this ribosomal RNA (426 nucleotides) under uncultured Opitutus sp. Its description in RNAcentral is "bacterial SSU rRNA". It matches the Rfam family "Bacterial small subunit ribosomal RNA", at positions 355 to 774 of the family's 1533-position model. Lineage: Bacteria; Pseudomonadati; Verrucomicrobiota; Opitutia; Opitutales; Opitutaceae. The record is from RNAcentral.